AAUUACAAAAACCUGGAGCUUGUCCCAAGGCACCCCUACAUGAUGUUGGAACUUGCAAUGAGAGAUGCUCAGGAGAUGACUCAUGCCCUGAUAAAAUGAAGUGCUGCAGGAAAGGGUGUGGUCAUGUCUGCACGAGGCCUGUCUUUAAAACAGCUGACAGCCCUGUGAAAGAUGGAUCCGAUACUUAUAAGCAUGACUGAUGACCAGUCCCAGAGGAUUUCUUCUGAAUCUACGGAGCCCAAGCUUGACUACUCCCUAACCCUAGAAUUGCAUCCUUGGAAGAUGAAAAUCUAUAAUGUGGUGAUGGCUUCCUAGUGUCUCUGUGUCCAAAAUAAACGAUCCUUAGCAUUCUCUUA
Non-coding RNA from Peromyscus maniculatus bairdii (prairie deer mouse), 356 nucleotides. NCBI's taxonomy places the organism in Eukaryota, Metazoa, Chordata, Mammalia, Rodentia, Cricetidae. The record is from RefSeq and is a predicted model, not a curated record.